This is a long non-coding RNA of Oreochromis niloticus (Nile tilapia), 1075 nucleotides long. RefSeq lists it as uncharacterized. Lineage: Eukaryota; Metazoa; Chordata; Actinopteri; Cichliformes; Cichlidae. The record is from RefSeq and is a predicted model, not a curated record. The transcript has 6 exons.
GCGCGGAAACCGUGGGACAGGUGGAGGGCGCAAAACCCUGUCACCAGAGACCAUAAAGUUUGGCUGAGACAAACGGAGGUGAAACAUUUUAGAAGAAGAAAAAGUACUGAUAACAUUAUCAGAGAAUCUGUAUUUUAUGUGGGCCAUCAAAGGACUUCUACCAACUUGUGCGCUGAAGUGCAUCAGACCUAACCCAUAAAGUCACACGUCCUCCUUGGGAUGACACCGCAUAUUUGGGGAGCAAGCAUCAAGCAGGAGGUCGAAUCUGGCAGGCAUGAGGCGAGGAAACAAACAAGUGUUAACAUUAGUGAUUUGUAUGCUGGGGCGAAAGGACAACGGCAGAUUGGAGGCAGAAAAACAGGCGCUCGCCAUUCCCGUUCACUCGGUAGCUUGUGAAAGAUGAACGAGGAGAAGGCAGAGAGGGGGGAUGGGGAGAUGAAAAUGCUGGAUGAGAGAUAAGACAAGUGAAGGGAAAAGAGACCUGCUUGGUAUUCACCUGUCUCUCUGGAUCAAUAAAGGGCUGCAGCAGAUCUCAUCAGUUGGUUAUAGGCAUGGAGGUUCUCGUCCGUCAUGUGGGGUCACCAGCCUGAGAGGAAUGCUCCAUGUCAGGGAUGUCAGGAGAGGAAGGGGUUUCCCAAGGGAUACAAUACUCAACAAAGUGUAUCGCACCUCUGGCCAAUCAUUGGCGCUUGUCCUGCUUGUAUUGUGAAUUUCAUCAAAGCGCACAGGCCCUUCACUGAGCCCAUCUGCUGUGUGCGAGCGUUAAUUAACCACACUGCCAUUUCCUCCGUGCGUGUUGCAUUUGAAGGUGAUGAGUGUCUGGGGAAAGAAAGACUUUCCUCUUGGGCGUUCUUGUCAUCAUUGCCAAAGUGGAAGAAAAACAGAAACAACCCACAGAUGGAGCUAAUGGAGUGUGACUAGGAUUUGAUCUAAAUGAAAACAGCUUUCUUUAUAAAAUAAAUAAACAAAUUAUUCCAUUCUGUCUUAUGGGAGCUAUGCUUUCCCAUCAUUUUGCCCUAUCUCCAUCUUAUCUGUGCGUAUGCUAGCUUUCUUUUGGUGUCCUCUUGGCAGCAGG